RNAcentral lists this ribosomal RNA (119 nucleotides) under Pteropus alecto (black flying fox). The record is from RNAcentral. Lineage: Eukaryota; Metazoa; Chordata; Mammalia; Chiroptera; Pteropodidae.
GUCUACGGCCAUGCCACCCUGAACAUGCCCAAUCCCAUCUGAUCUCGGAAGCUAAGCAAGGUUGGGCCUGGUUAGUACUUGGACAGGAGACCACCUAGGAAGACCAGUUGAUGUAGGUG